This 301-nucleotide ribosomal RNA is filed under the name uncultured Lactobacillus sp. Its description in RNAcentral is "bacterial SSU rRNA". It matches the Rfam family "Bacterial small subunit ribosomal RNA", at positions 494 to 795 of the family's 1533-position model. Lineage: Bacteria; Bacillati; Bacillota; Bacilli; Lactobacillales; Lactobacillaceae. The record is from RNAcentral.
CGCGGAGCUAGGUGCCAGCGGCCGGCGUAGUGCGUAUGUCCCGUGCGUUGGCCUGUGUUAUGGGGGUUAAAUCCAGGUGAGUUGGUUACAUAAGUCUGAAGUAAAAGGCAGUGGCUCAACCAUUGUAUGCUUUGGAAACUGUGUAACUUGAGUGCAGAAGGGGAGAGUGGAAUUCCAUGUGUAGCGGUGAAAUGCGUAGAUAUAUGGAGGAACACCGGUGGCGAAAGCGGCUCUCUGGUCUGUAACUGACACUGAGGCUCGAAAGCGUGGGGAGCAAACAGGAUUAGAUACCCCGGUAGUC